This is a non-coding RNA of Macaca mulatta (Rhesus monkey), 995 nucleotides long. The record is from RefSeq and is a predicted model, not a curated record. NCBI's taxonomy places the organism in Eukaryota, Metazoa, Chordata, Mammalia, Primates, Cercopithecidae.
AUGCCCGUCAUCAUCGUAACAGUAGCCCCGCUUGUGAGUUCAGAAGCAAAGAAGAAGGGUUCUUCUCGAUGGCAAAGGUGUUUCAAGUGGAGCGAGUACUGCUUUGAAAGAAGCAAUGAUUUGGAACUGAGAGUUCUGGAUGAAUGCCUGUUGUUGGGUGUGCUGAAUAAACGAGCCCUGUACAAAGAGGUCCAGAGUCUAAAGAGACAUAAGUAUCCCUCUACUGGCGGGAUUUUGUCUCACAGAAAGUUCUCCACUCCCAGACAUGGGUUCCUCGGCUUCCUGCCUUGGAGGCGCAGCAGCAGGCAUCGUGGGAAGGUGAAGAGCUUCCUUAAGGAUGUCCUGUCCAAGUCGGUCCACCUCACAGCCUUCCUGGGAUACAAGGCUGGGAUGACCCACAUCGAGCGGGAAGUCGACAAGCCAGGAUCCAAGGUGAACAAGAAGGAGGUGGUGGAGGCUGUGACCAUUGUGGAGACGCCACCCAUGGUGGUUGUGGGCAUUGUGGGCUACGUGGAAACCCCUCGUGGCACGCGCUGGGCAGAAAGGCUACCAUCACUGCACUGAGAUCAGCAAGAACAUCUAUAAGAUUGGCCAGGGCUACCUUAUCAAGGACGACAAGCUGAUCAAGAACAAUGCCUCCACUGACUAUGACCUGUCUGACAAGAGCAUCAACCCUCUGGGUGGUUUUGUCCACUAUGGUGAAGUGACCAAUGACUUUGUCAUGCUGAAAAGCUGUGUGGUGGGAACUAAGAAGCGGGUGCUUACCCUCCGCAAGUCCUUGCUGGUGGAGACGAAGCAAUGAGCUCUGGAGAAGAUUGACCUUAAGUUCAUUGACACCACCUCCAAGUUUGGCCAUGGCCGCUUCCAGACCAUGGAGGAGAAGAAAGCAUUCAUAGGACCACUCAAGAAAGACCAAAUUGCAAAGAAAGAAGGAGCUUAAUGCCAGGAACAGAUUUUGUAGCUGGUGGGGUCUCAAUAAAAGUUACUUUCCACUG